UGAAGUAGACCGCCUGGGGAGUACGGUCGCAAGAUUAAAACCCAAAGGAAUUGACGGGGACCCGCACAAGCGGUGGAUGAUGUGGAUUAAUUCGAUGCAACGCGAAAAACCUUACCUACCCUUGACAUGGCAGAAAUCCUUGAGAGAUUGAGGAGUGCUCGAAAGAGAAUCUGCACACAGGUGCUGCAUGGCUGUCGUCAGCUCGUGUCGUGAGAUGUUGGGUUAAGUCCCGCAACGAGCGCAACCCUUGUCAUUAGUUGUUACGAAAGAGCACUCUAAUGAGACUGCCGGUGACAAACCGGAGGAAGGUGGGGAUGACGUCAAGUCCUCAUGGCCCUUAUGGGUAGGGCUUCACACGUCAUACAAUGGUACAUACAGAGGGCCGCCAACCCGCGAGGGGGAGCUAAUCCCAGAAAGUGUAUCGUAGUCCGGAUUGUAGUCUGCAACUCGACUGCAUGAAGUUGGAAUCGCUAGUAAUCGCGGAUCAGCAUGUCGCGGUGAAUACGUUCCCGGGUCUUGUACACACCGCCCGUCACACCAUGGGAGCGGGUUUUACCAGAAGUAGGUAGCUUAACCGUAAGGAGGGCGCUUACCACGGUAGGAUUCGUGACUGGGGAGAAGUCGUAACAAGGUAACCCG
RNAcentral lists this ribosomal RNA (639 nucleotides) under uncultured Duganella sp. Its description in RNAcentral is "bacterial SSU rRNA". It matches the Rfam family "Bacterial small subunit ribosomal RNA", at positions 860 to 1503 of the family's 1533-position model. Lineage: Bacteria; Pseudomonadati; Pseudomonadota; Betaproteobacteria; Burkholderiales; Oxalobacteraceae. The record is from RNAcentral.